This 63-nucleotide transfer RNA is filed under the name Alleculinae sp. ALL01. RNAcentral's name for it is "tRNA-His". The record is from RNAcentral. Lineage: Eukaryota; Metazoa; Arthropoda; Insecta; Coleoptera; Tenebrionidae.
AUUUAAGUAGUUUAUUAAAAAUAUUGAUUUGUGGAGUCAAGGAAGCAGAUUUUGUCUUAGAUA